UAACCUGCCCCCUGAAUUUAAUUUUAAAUGGCCGCAGUAAUUUGACUGUGCAAAGGUAGCAUAAUAAUUUGUCUCUUAAUUAGAGGCUUGUAUGAAUGGUUGGACGAGAAAUAAUCUGUCUCUAUUUCAUUCCUUGAAUUUUACUUUUAAGUGAAAAGGCUUAAAUAUAUUUUAAAGACGAUAAGACCCUAUAAAUCUUUAUAUUAAUUUUUUUGCUUUUCAAAAUUUAUUAGUAAACAAAAAAACUAAAAAAUAAUAUUAUAUUGGGGCGAUAAAAAUAUAAACUUAUAUAACUAUUUUUAUAUUAAUACAAUAAUAUUUGAUUUUAAUCAAUAAAAGAUCCUUUCUUAAGAUUCCUAGAUUAAGUUACUUUAGGGAUAACAGCGUUAUUUUUUUUAAGAGUCCUUAUCGAAAAAAAAACUUGCGACCUCGAUGUUGAAUUAAAAUAUUCCUUAUAAAGCAGAAAUUAUAAAGGAAAGUCUGUUCGACUUUUAAAAUUUUACAUGAUUUGAGUUCAAACCGGCGUAAGCCAGGUU
This 536-nucleotide ribosomal RNA is filed under the name Sympagurus acinops. Its description in RNAcentral is "partial 16S ribosomal RNA". It matches the Rfam family "Bacterial large subunit ribosomal RNA", at positions 1855 to 2632 of the family's 2925-position model. The record is from RNAcentral. Lineage: Eukaryota; Metazoa; Arthropoda; Malacostraca; Decapoda; Parapaguridae.